AGAACGAACGCUGGCGGCAUGCCUAAUACAUGCAAGUCGAACGAACUCUUCGGAGUUAGUGGCGCACGGGUGCGUAACGCGUGGGAAUCUGCCCCUUGGUUCGGAAUAACAGUUGGAAACGACUGCUAAUACCGGAUGAUGACGAAAGUCCAAAGAUUUAUCGCCAAGGGAUGAGCCCGCGUAGGAUUAGCUAGUCGGUGAGGUAAAGGCUCACCAAGCCUUCGAUCUGUAGCUGGUCUGAGAGGACGACCAGCCACACUGGGACUGAGACACGGCCCAGACUCCUACGGGAGCAGCAGUGGGGAAUUUGGACAAUGGGCG
This 321-nucleotide ribosomal RNA is filed under the name uncultured soil bacterium. Its description in RNAcentral is "bacterial SSU rRNA". It matches the Rfam family "Bacterial small subunit ribosomal RNA", at positions 26 to 377 of the family's 1533-position model. The record is from RNAcentral.